Molecule: small nucleolar RNA, 81 nt
Filed under: Erythranthe guttata (spotted monkey flower)
Lineage: Eukaryota; Viridiplantae; Streptophyta; Magnoliopsida; Lamiales; Phrymaceae
Source: RNAcentral
CAGACUGAUUUAAAACAGCGCCGGAGGAACCAGACUGGGCAGAAAAGGAAGUUGCGAAAGCUCUUCCAGUGUUAUCUGGAA